Molecule: ribosomal RNA, 901 nt
Filed under: uncultured bacterium
Lineage: Bacteria
Description: bacterial SSU rRNA
Rfam family: Bacterial small subunit ribosomal RNA
Source: RNAcentral
GAUGAACGCUAGCGGCAGGCCUAACACAUGCAAGUCGAGGGGCAGCACGUGAAGUACUUCGGUACUUUUGGUGGCGACCGGGCGAACGGGUGCGUAACGCGUAUGCAACCUACCUUUUACAGGGGGAUAACGUUUGGAAACGAACACUAAUACCCCAUAACAUCGAUCACGGCAUCGUGGUUGGUUGAAAACUCCGGUGGUAAGAGAUGGGCAUGCGUUGUAUUAGGUAGUUGGUGAGGUAAUGGCUCACCAAGCCUACGAUACAUAGGGGGACUGAGAGGUUAGCCCCCCACACUGGUACUGAGACACGGACCAGACUCCUACGGGAGGCAGCAGUGAGGAAUAUUGGUCAAUGGGGGCAACCCUGAACCAGCCAUGCCGCGUGCAGGAAGACGGCUCUAUGAGUUGUAAACUGCUUUUAUACUGGGAUAAAUCUAUAUACGUGUAUAUAGUUGCAGGUACAGUAUGAAUAAGGAUCGGCUAACUCCGUGCCAGCAGCCGCGGUAAUACGGAGGAUCCAAGCGUUAUCCGGAUUUAUUGGGUUUAAAGGGUGCGUAGGCGGCUUUUUAAGUUAUAGGUGAAAUCUCACGGCUCAACCGUGAAAUUGCCUGUGAUACUGGAGAGCUAGCAAAUAGAUGCGGUAGGCGGAAUGUGUGGUGUAGCGGUGAAAUGCUUAGAUAUCACACAGAACACCGAUUGCGAANGGCAGCUUACCAAUCUAUAUUGGACGCUGAGGCACGAAAGCGUGGGUAGCAAACAGGAUUAGAUACCCUGGUAGUCCACGCAGUAAACGAUGAUAACUCGUUGUCGGCGAUAUACAGUCGGUGACCAAGCGAAAGCGAUAAGUUAUNCCACCUGGGGAGUACGUUUCGCAAGAAUGAAACUCAAAUGAAUUGACGGG